Non-coding RNA from Prunus avium (sweet cherry), 425 nucleotides. The record is from RefSeq and is a predicted model, not a curated record. Lineage: Eukaryota; Viridiplantae; Streptophyta; Magnoliopsida; Rosales; Rosaceae.
ACUUAUUGUGGUAAAAACCAUACUAUUGAUAAGUGUUGGAAACUUCAUGGACGACCUGCAUGGGCUGAUGAUUUGAUUGCCCAGAAACAUAGAAGCAGUGCUGCUCAUGUCACCACUCAAACCACUGGGGAUGAAUCAGGUGAUGUAACCACUAAGGAGGCCAAGCAAGGAUCUUCACACUCAGGAGGAGGUGGGUCGUGGUUUUAGGAGAGGGGAUUUAUGGUACUUUCAUGGUUCAAAGUCUGACAUUGUUGCACAUCAAGUUAAUAAGCAAGUUUUGGAGAAUGAGAAGAUGAUUUGGUUGUGGCAUCAACGGUUAGGACACCCAUCAUUUGGAUAUUUAAAGCACCUUUUACCUUCUUUGUUUGCUUCUUGUAAUAAAGAGUUUAAAUGCUCUACAUGUGAGACUUGUAUUUUCGCCAAAA